Molecule: non-coding RNA, 105 nt
Organism: Acanthosepion pharaonis
Lineage: Eukaryota; Metazoa; Mollusca; Cephalopoda; Sepiida; Sepiidae
Source: the annotation of a GenBank genome assembly
AUUCCUGUACGAUCACCGAUUCCUGUACGAUCACCGAAGUUAAGCAACAUCGAGCCUUUUCAUUACCUAAUUGGGUGACCGCUUAGGAAUAACAGGUGUUGUAGG